GGCAGUAUUACAUAGUGGUUAAGAACACAGGCUUUAGAGCUAUGUGCCUGGGUUCAAAUCCUAGUACUGCCA
Molecule: non-coding RNA, 72 nt
Organism: Myotis brandtii (Brandt's bat)
Lineage: Eukaryota; Metazoa; Chordata; Mammalia; Chiroptera; Vespertilionidae
Source: Rfam